CACUCGAAAUGAUGACCGGAUAAUAGAUGACCGGUGUGUCAACAUGAAACAAAACAAGAGCACUUGAAAU
This is a non-coding RNA of Caenorhabditis elegans, 70 nucleotides long. NCBI's taxonomy places the organism in Eukaryota, Metazoa, Nematoda, Chromadorea, Rhabditida, Rhabditidae. The record is from Ensembl.